AGGUUUGGAUCAUACUGAUGCUGCUGUUAAGUGCUUCAGUAGUUACUGUAAAAACAAUGAUGGUUGCAGACAGGGAUGUCUCGACCAUGGAUGUGGCUCCAAACAUUUCUGUUCUAUCAACGAAAAGAAAUGUUGCUGUGAUGGUUGUAUGUCAGAAUAACAACAGGAAAAUUUCAAAUCAGAACAUUUUCUGAAGUGCAGAGAACGUGUUUAUUUAUGCAUAUUGAAUCUGUUAUAUUAAUCUACGAUCUAAUAAUAAAC
This 261-nucleotide long non-coding RNA is filed under the name Mytilus galloprovincialis (Mediterranean mussel). The record is from RNAcentral. Lineage: Eukaryota; Metazoa; Mollusca; Bivalvia; Mytilida; Mytilidae.